UGCGUAGGCGGUGCGGUAAGUCUCUUGUGAAAUCUCCGGGCUCAACUCGGAGCCUGCAAAGGAAACUGCCGUGCUUGAGUGUGGGAGAGGUGAGUGGAAUUCCCGUUGUAGCGGUGAAAUGCGUAGAUAUCGGGAGGAACACCUGUGGCGAAAGCGGCUCACUGGACCACAACUGACGCUGAUGCACGAAAGCUAGGGAGCAAACA
Molecule: ribosomal RNA, 206 nt
Filed under: uncultured bacterium
Lineage: Bacteria
Description: partial 16S ribosomal RNA
Rfam family: Bacterial small subunit ribosomal RNA
Source: RNAcentral